This 771-nucleotide ribosomal RNA is filed under the name uncultured bacterium. Its description in RNAcentral is "bacterial SSU rRNA". It matches the Rfam family "Bacterial small subunit ribosomal RNA", at positions 8 to 796 of the family's 1533-position model. The record is from RNAcentral.
AGAGUUUGAUCAUGGCUCAGGACGAACGCUGGCGGCGUGCUUAACACAUGCAAGUCGAACGGAAAGGCCCUUCGGGGUACUCGAGUGGCGAGCGGGUGAGUAACACGUGGGUGAUCUGCCCUGCACUUUGGGAUAAGCCUGGGAAACUGGGUCUAAUACCGAAUAUGACCAUGCACUUCCUGGUGUGUGGUGGAAAGCUUUUGCGGUGUGGGAUGGGCCCGCGGCCUAUCAGCUUGUUGGUGGGGUAAUGGCCUACCAAGGCGACGACGGGUAGCCGGCCUGAGAGGGUGACCGGCCACACUGGGACUGAGAUACGGCCCAGACUCCUACGGGAGGCAGCAGUGGGGAAUAUUGCACAAUGGGCGCAAGCCUGAUACAGCGACGCCGCGUGAGGGAUGACGGCCUUCGGGUUGUAAACCUCUUUCAGCACAGACGAAGCGCAAGUGACGGUAUGUGCAGAAGAAGGACCGGCCAACUACGUGCCAGCAGCCGCGGUAAUACGUAGGGUCCGAGCGUUGUCCGGAAUUACUGGGCGUAAAGAGCUCGUAGGUGGUUUGUCGCGUUGUUCGUGAAAACUCACAGCUUAACUGUGGGCGUGCGGGCGAUACGGGCAGACUUGAGUACUGCAGGGGAGACUGGAAUUCCUGGUGUAGCGGUGGAAUGCGCAGAUAUCAGGAGGAACACCGGUGGCGAAGGCGGGUCUCUGGGCAGUAACUGACGCUGAGGAGCGAAAGCGUGGGGAGCGAACAGGAUUAGAUACCCUGGUAGUCC